This 419-nucleotide ribosomal RNA is filed under the name Micrococcus luteus. RNAcentral describes it as "bacterial SSU rRNA". It matches the Rfam family "Bacterial small subunit ribosomal RNA", at positions 37 to 456 of the family's 1533-position model. Lineage: Bacteria; Bacillati; Actinomycetota; Actinomycetes; Micrococcales; Micrococcaceae. The record is from RNAcentral.
UGGCGGCGUGCUUAACACAUGCAAGUCGAACGAUGAAGCCCAGCUUGCUGGGUGGAUUAGUGGCGAACGGGUGAGUAACACGUGAGUAACCUGCCCUUAACUCUGGGAUAAGCCUGGGAAACUGGGUCUAAUACCGGAUAGGAGCGUCCACCGCAUGGUGGGUGUUGGAAAGAUUUAUCGGUUUUGGAUGGACUCGCGGCCUAUCAGCUUGUUGGUGAGGUAAUGGCUCACCAAGGCGACGACGGGUAGCCGGCCUGAGAGGGUGACCGGCCACACUGGGACUGAGACACGGCCCAGACUCCUACGGGAGGCAGCAGUGGGGAAUAUUGCACAAUGGGCGAAAGCCUGAUGCAGCGACGCCGCGUGAGGGAUGACGGCCUUCGGGUUGUAAACCUCUUUCAGUAGGGAAGAAGCGAAAG